UACGGAGGGUGCGAGCGUUAUCCGGAAUUACUGGGUUUAAAGGGUGCGUAGGCGGCCGUGCAAGUCUGGCGUGAAAGCCCCGGGCUCAGCCCGGGAAGUGCGCUCGAAACUGCGCGGCUCGAGUGCCGGAGGGGAGAGUGGAAUUCCUGGUGUAGCGGUGAAAUGCGUAGAUAUCAGGAGGAACACCGGUGGCGAAGGCGGGUCUCUGGGCAGUAACUGACGCUGAGGAGCGAAAGCGUGGGGAGCGAACAGG
RNAcentral lists this ribosomal RNA (253 nucleotides) under uncultured bacterium. Its description in RNAcentral is "partial 16S ribosomal RNA". It matches the Rfam family "Bacterial small subunit ribosomal RNA", at positions 524 to 776 of the family's 1533-position model. The record is from RNAcentral.